AUAGGUUAUAUUUUACAGCCUUAGGAUGCAUUUUUCUGCAUAUUUUAGCAUGUAAUGUGAUGUAUUCAUUUGAGGGAAGAUGCAUUUACAUGAUUCUCUUGUUUCUAUGCCUCAGUAUUCUCUAAAUCUUAUGUAAACAGCUUUGAAAGUCGUAUGACAUUUACAAUUGUCAUUUUAUGGGCGCCGCCAUUUUGAACGUCAUGACAUGACCGGGUAUGAAAAACUGCUUGCCAUUGGUUAAAGUCUAGGUGUAUUUUUAGGAUGAAUAUGUUAAUUUAAAGGGGAGGUAAUGCUCUUUCUUUUGAUACCACAUGGUACUGCGAAAGUGAAAAUAUAACUAGUGGAAUCGUCUGCCGAAAAUUGCCAGUUUUUGAAGGCUUGCUGUGCAUUUAUAUGUCGAUAGAAGAUCACAGAAGUUAUUUAGCUUUCAUCAAUAGUAAGACAGUGUUAUUGAGAUUUGAACAAAUUUGGUUAUGACUGACAGUGACAGCCAGCCCGCAAGUCCAGUUAUCAAGAAACAGAGGGUUGAGAGUCAACUUGAGUUGCAGGUACCGUUGUUCAAUUCUUGGUUUAACAUUAUAUAUGACGGAGAUGACGCAGUUUACACAUACCAUCGACUCGACAGUGAUUUAGAAUCAGAGGAUCUUGAAAUACUUGUAUAAGGUAGAAAUAUAGAUGUAAUUCAAUUCAAACAUAACAAGAAUUCCUCUACAGAUGCAGCACUGAGUUACAUUAACUUUUUUUGUCUGUUGUUCAUUACAAUGGUUGUUAAGGCGUAUAGCAGAAUGGCUCCAGACAAAUGUGACUUCCCGAAAUAUUCAAUGGGUGAUAACUUUUUUAUGGAUAAACCUUUUGUCUUGAAAUAAAGACCAUUGUACUGCAAAUAAAAAUACCUUCAAAAUGGUAUAUUACAUCA
Molecule: long non-coding RNA, 916 nt
Organism: Mercenaria mercenaria
Lineage: Eukaryota; Metazoa; Mollusca; Bivalvia; Venerida; Veneridae
Exons: 3
Source: RefSeq, a predicted model, not a curated record